CGUGGGUGGUGGUGCAUGGCCGUUCUUAGUUGGUGGAGCGAUUUGUCUGGUUAAUUCCGAUAACGAACGAGACUCUGGCAUGCUAACUAGUUACGCGACCCCCGAGCGGUCGGCGUCCCCCAACUUCUUAGAGGGACAAGUGGCGUUCAGCCACCCGAGAUUGAGCAAUAACAGGUCUGUGAUGCCCUUAGAUGUCCGGGCUGCACGCGCGCUACACUGACUGGCUCAGCGUGUGCCUACCCUACGCCGGCAGGCGCGGGUAACCCGUUGAACCCCAUUCGUGAUGGGGAUCGGGGAUUGCAAUUAUUCCCCAUGAACGAGGAAUUCCCAGUAAGUGCGGGUCAUAAGCUUGCGUUGAUUAAGUCCCUGCCCUUUGUACACACC
This 384-nucleotide ribosomal RNA is filed under the name Campylobacter coli. RNAcentral describes it as "SSU rRNA". It matches the Rfam family "Eukaryotic small subunit ribosomal RNA", at positions 1269 to 1670 of the family's 1831-position model. The record is from RNAcentral. Lineage: Bacteria; Pseudomonadati; Campylobacterota; Epsilonproteobacteria; Campylobacterales; Campylobacteraceae.